AUUUCCUUCGGGACUGAUUAUUUUGUGACUGAGUGGCGGACGGGUGAGUAACGCGUGGGUAACCUGCCUUGUACAGGGGGAUAACAGUUGGAAACGGCUGCUAAUACCGCAUAAGCGCACGGCAUCGCAUGAUGCAGUGUGAAAAACUCCGGUGGUAUAAGAUGGACCCGCGUUGGAUUAGCUAGUUGGUGAGGUAACGGCCCACCAAGGCGACGAUCCAUAGCCGACCUGAGAGGGUGACCGGCCACAUUGGGACUGAGACACGGCCCAAACUCCUACGGGAGGCAGCAGUGGGGAAUAUUGCACAAUGGGCGAAAGCCUGAUGCAGCGACGCCGCGUGAGCGAAGAAGUAUUUCGGUAUGUAAAGCUCUAUCAGCAGGGAAGAUAAUGACGGUACCUGACUAAGAAGCACCGGCUAAAUACGUGCCAGCAGCCGCGGUAAUACGUAUGGUGCAAGCGUUAUCCGGAUUUACUGGGUGUAAAGGGAGCGCAGGCGGUGCGGCAAGUCUGAUGUGAAAGCCCGGGGCUCAACCCCGGUACUGCAUUGGAAACUGUCGUACUAGAGUGUCGGAGGGGUAAGCGGAACUCCUAGUGUAGCGGUGAAAUGCGUAGAUAUUAGGAGGAACACCAGUGGCGAAGGCGGC
RNAcentral lists this ribosomal RNA (644 nucleotides) under uncultured Lachnospiraceae bacterium. RNAcentral's name for it is "bacterial SSU rRNA". It matches the Rfam family "Bacterial small subunit ribosomal RNA", at positions 73 to 725 of the family's 1533-position model. The record is from RNAcentral. Lineage: Bacteria; Bacillati; Bacillota; Clostridia; Lachnospirales; Lachnospiraceae.